This 285-nucleotide long non-coding RNA is filed under the name Malus domestica (apple). RNAcentral's name for it is "long non-coding RNA (MDOM_LNC006264)". Lineage: Eukaryota; Viridiplantae; Streptophyta; Magnoliopsida; Rosales; Rosaceae. The record is from RNAcentral.
GACUAUGGGACAGAGGUUCAGGGCCGAAGGGGUAGAGGAAGACCUAGGAAAACUUUGAGAGAGACCCUAAGAAAAGACUUAGAGUACUUGGAUCUAACGGAGGACAUGAUACAGGACAGAACACACAAUGGCGUUCUCUAAGAUUCAUAUAGCCGAUCCCACUCAGUGACUUGGAUUUUCCAAGUCUCCAACCGAGAAGUUGUCCUCGCUAGGGAAAUUAAGGGAACACUACCUCAACCUACAUGCUCCACUCACAAAGCUCCAACAUACAAGCUUCAACAAAAG